UUCGGUGCCAGCAGCCGCGGUAAUACGGAGGGGGUUAGCGUUGUUCGGAAUUACUGGGCGUAAAGCGCGCGUAGGCGGAUUAGAAAGUUGGGGGUGAAAUCCCGGGGCUCAACCCCGGAACUGCCUCCAAAACUGCUAGUCUAGAGUUCGAGAGAGGUGAGUGGAAUUCCGAGUGUAGAGGUGAAAUUCGUAGAUAUUCGGAGGAACACCAGUGGCGAAGGCGGCUCACUGGCUCGAUACUGACGCUGAGGUGCGAAAGUGUGGGGAGCAAACAGGAUUAGAUACCCUGGUAGUCCACACCGUAAACGAUGAAUGCCAGUCGUCGGAUAGUAUACUAUUCGGUGACACACCUAACGGAUUAAGCAUUCCGCCUGGGGAGUACGGUCGCAAGAUUAAAACU
RNAcentral lists this ribosomal RNA (400 nucleotides) under uncultured bacterium. Its description in RNAcentral is "bacterial SSU rRNA". It matches the Rfam family "Bacterial small subunit ribosomal RNA", at positions 501 to 901 of the family's 1533-position model. The record is from RNAcentral.